Molecule: ribosomal RNA, 645 nt
Filed under: uncultured bacterium
Lineage: Bacteria
Description: bacterial SSU rRNA
Rfam family: Bacterial small subunit ribosomal RNA
Source: RNAcentral
GAAAGGCGGGCUAAACCCGCGUACAUGCCACCGGGGCAUCCCGGAGGCAGGAAAGGCUUCGGCCGGACAGGGAUGGGCAUGCGGCGCAUUAGGCAGUAGGCGGGGUAACGGCCCACCUAACCGACGAUGCGUAGGGGUUCUGAGAGGAAGGUCCCCCACACUGGUACUGAGACACGGACCAGACUCCUACGGGAGGCAGCAGUGAGGAAUAUUGGUCAAUGGUCGGGAGACUGAACCAGCCAAGCCGCGUGAGGGAUGAAGGUACAGAGUAUCGUAAACCUCUUUUGUCAGGGAACAAAGGCGGGGACGUGUCCCCGGAUGAGUGUACCUGAAGAAAAAGCAUCGGCUAACUCCGUGCCAGCAGCCGCGGUAAUACGGAGGAUGCGAGCGUUAUCCGGAUUUAUUGGGUUUAAAGGGUGCGCAGGCGGUCUGUUAAGUCAGCGGUCAAAGCCCGGGGCUCAGCCCCGGCCCGCCGUUGAAACUGGCAGUCUCGAGUUGGAGAGAAGUAUGCGGAAUGCGCGGUGUAGCGGUGAAAUGCAUAGAUAUCGCGCAGAACUCCGAUUGCGAAGGCAGCAUGCCGGCUCCACACUGACGCUGAGGCACGAAAGCGUGGGUAUCGAACAGGAUUAGAUACCCUGGUAGUCC